GUCCAACUUCAGUGUAGGCGGAGACGGUGGUGAUUGAGGCGAAGGCGGAGCAACGUCGAGCUUCUUCGCAACCGUCUCUUCGCUCUCCUUAGUGGUUAUGGUUCCGGGUCGGGUUUUGGUCUUCUUCUUGUCGGAGGGUGGAGAUGGAGACGGAGAAGAAGAAGAUUGAGCCCUAGGGAUUACGAUUUGGGAGCGAUCAUGGAAUCUGUGAAUUCUGGUGUUGAUGCUGAAACUGUUGCCAAAAUUCGAGCUUAGAAACCUCGCAUCAGUCGCAGCCAUGUUACUGCCAACAAUACUACCCACCAUUUUUGAACUCUGCUACACAAACAGAGCUCAAAGACACAAUUUUGAAAAUAAAUUUUUUGGAUAAAAU
Molecule: long non-coding RNA, 373 nt
Organism: Arabidopsis thaliana (thale cress)
Lineage: Eukaryota; Viridiplantae; Streptophyta; Magnoliopsida; Brassicales; Brassicaceae
Product: other RNA
Exons: 1
Source: RefSeq